CCUACGGGAGGCAGCAGUGAGGAAUAUUGGUCAAUGGACGAGAGUCUGAACCAGCCAAGUAGCGUGAAGGAUGACUGCCCUAUGGGUUGUAAACUUCUUUUAUAUGGGAAUAAAAUGUUCCACGUGUGGGAUUUUGUAUGUACCAUAUGAAUAAGGAUCGGCUAACUCCGUGCCAGCAGCCACGGUAAUACGGAGGAUCCGAGCUUUAUCCGGAUUUAUUGGGUUUAAAGGGAGCGUAGGUGGAUUGUUAAGUCAGUUGUGAAAGUUUGCGGCUCAACCGUAAAAUUGCAGUUGAAACUGGCAGUCUUGAGUACAGUAGAGGUGGGCGGAAUUCGUGGUGUAGCGGUGAAAUGCUUAGAUAUCACGAAGAACUCCGAUUGCGAAGGCAGUUCACUGGACUGCAACUGACACUGAGGCUCGAAAGUGUGGGUAUCAAACAGGAUUAGAUACCCCAGUAGUC
Molecule: ribosomal RNA, 460 nt
Filed under: uncultured bacterium
Lineage: Bacteria
Description: partial 16S ribosomal RNA
Rfam family: Bacterial small subunit ribosomal RNA
Source: RNAcentral